GACGAACGCUGGCGGAGGGAUGAAUACAUGCAAGUAGAACGCUGGAGGAGGAGCUUGCUUCUCUGGAUGAGUUGCGAACGGGUGAGUAACGCGUAGGUAACCUGCCUGGUAGCGGGGGAUAACUAUUGGAAACGAUAGCUAAUACCGCAUAAUAUUGACUAUUGCAUGAUAGUCAGUUGAAAUGUGCAACUGCACCACUACCAGAUGGACCUGCGUUGUAUUAGCUAGUUGGUGGGGUAACGGCUCACCAAGGCGACGAUACAUAGCCGACCUGAGAGGGUGAUCGGCCACACUGGGACUGAGACACGGCCCAGACUCCUACGGGAGGCAGCAGUAGGGAAUCUUCGGCAAUGGACGGAAGUCUGAACGAGCAACGCCGCGUGAGUGAAGAAGGUGUUCGGAUCGUAAAGCUCUGUUGUAAGAGAAGAACGAGUGUGAGAGUGGAAAGCUCACACUGUGACGGUAUCUUACCAGAAAGGGACGGCUAGCUACGUG
RNAcentral lists this ribosomal RNA (495 nucleotides) under uncultured bacterium. Its description in RNAcentral is "partial 16S ribosomal RNA". It matches the Rfam family "Bacterial small subunit ribosomal RNA", at positions 28 to 507 of the family's 1533-position model. The record is from RNAcentral.